Molecule: ribosomal RNA, 407 nt
Filed under: Verrucomicrobiota bacterium
Lineage: Bacteria; Pseudomonadati; Verrucomicrobiota
Description: Verrucomicrobia bacterium partial 16S ribosomal RNA
Rfam family: Bacterial small subunit ribosomal RNA
Source: RNAcentral
UGGGGAAUAUUGGACAAUGGAGGAAACUCUGAUCCAGCAAUUCUGUGUGUGUGAAGAAGGUUUUAGGACUGUAAAACACUUUUAGUAGGGAAGAAAAAAAUGACGGUACCUACAGAAGAAGCAACGGCUAAAUACGUGCCAGCAGCCGCGGUAAUACGUAUGUUGCGAGCGUUAUCCGGAAUUAUUGGGCUUAAAGGGCAUCUAGGCGGUAAGACAAGUUGAAGGUGAAAACCUGUGGCUCAACCAUAGGCUUGCCUACAAAACUGUUGAACUAGAGUACUGGAAAGGUGGGUGGAACUACACGAGUAGAGGUGAAAUUCGUAGAUAUGUGUAGGAAUGCCGAUGAUGAAGAUAACUCACUGGACAGAAACUGACGCUGAAGUGCGAAAGCUAGGGGAGCAAACAUG